Molecule: long non-coding RNA, 1557 nt
Filed under: Chrysolophus pictus (golden pheasant)
Lineage: Eukaryota; Metazoa; Chordata; Aves; Galliformes; Phasianidae
Description: lncRNA (ENSCPIG00010013952.1)
Source: RNAcentral
AUGCUCCUGUGCAUCAUAAUACCAUGCAGCGUGUCCCCGUGUAAUGCAUCCCUGUGCAGUGCAUCCCUGUGCAAUGCAUUUCUGUGCAGUGCAUCCCUGUGCAUUGUGAUCACGUGCAAUGCACCUCCAUGCAAUGCAUCCCUGCACGUUGUGAUCCCGUGCAAUGCAGCUCUGUGCAAUGCGUCUCUGUGCAUUGUGACCCCGUGCAAUGCAUCCCCGUGCAAUGCAUCCUCGUGCAAUGCAUCCCUGCGCAUCAUCGUGAUCCCAUGCAACGCGUCCCUGUGCAACGUGUCCCUGUGCAGUGCAUCCCUGUGCAAUGCAUCCCUGUGCAGUGCAUCCCUGUGCAUUGUGAUCACGUGCAAUGCACCUCCAUGCAAUGCAUCCCUGCACGUUGUGAUCCCGUGCAAUGCAGCUCUGUGCAAUGCGUCUCUGUGCAUUGUGACCCCGUGCAAUGCAUCCCCGUGCAAUGCAUCCUCGUGCAACGCAUCCCUGCGCAUUGUGAUCCCAUGCAAAGCAUCCUCGUGCGAUGCGCCGCCGUGCAACACAGCGCCGUGCAUUUCCUGGUGUCCUGGUGUUGUGUCCCUCCUGCGUGGCAGCCCGAUGCAUCGCGCAUCCCCAUGCGCUGCUGUGUCCAUGCACGUCUCAUCCCCAUGCACCACGUCUGUCUUCAUGGUGCCCCGUGCGUCACAUCGCCGUGCACUGCACUCCUCUGCGUCGCAGCCCAUGCGUUGCAUCCCCUGCACUGCAUUCCUCUGCAUCUCAUCCCCGUGCAUUGCAUUCCCUGCAGAUUGCAUCCACGUGCACUGCGUUCCUAUGCAUCACAUCCCCGUGGAUUGCAUUCCCUGCAGAUUGCAUCCCAUGCAUUGCAUUGCUGUGCAUCGCAUCCCCGUGCAUUGCAUUCCCUGCAGAUUGCAUCCCACACACUGCACUCCCGUGGAUCACGCCCCCGUGCAUUGCAUUCCUGUGCAUUGCAUUCCCUGCGGAUUGAAUCCCCAUGCAUUGCAUUGCUGUGCAUCACACCCCCAUGCAUUGCAUUGCUGUGCAUCUCAUCCCCGUGCAUUGCAUUCCCUGCAGAUUGCAUCCCCGUGCAUUGCAUUCCUGUGCAUCGCAUCCCAGUGGGUUGCAUUCCCUGCAGAUUGCACCCCAUGCACCGCACUCCGUGGAUCACACCCCUGUGCAUUGCAUUCCUGUGCAUCACACCCACACGCACUGCGUUCCUGUGCAUUGCAUCCCCGUGCAUUGUAUUCCCUGCAGAUUGCAUCCAAUGCAUUGCAUUGCUGUGCGUCACAUCCCCAUGCAUUGCAUUCCCUGCAAGUUGCAUCCCAUGCAUUGCAUUCCUAUGCAUCACGUCCCCGUGCAUGGCAUUCCUUGCAGAUUGCAUCCCAUGCAUCGCAUUCCUGUGCAUCACAUCCACAUGCAUGGUGCCCACAUGCAUUGCAUCCCCUGCAUCCCAUGCCCUUGCAUCACAGCCCCGUGCAUCGCACGCACAGCCAUGUGUCUGUCGGUGAUUGGGAUGCGCGUGCUGCAACGCGUGUGGCUGUGCUGCAACCCAUGUGA